This 239-nucleotide long non-coding RNA is filed under the name Elaeis guineensis (African oil palm). RNAcentral describes it as "long non-coding RNA (EGUI_LNC024057)". Lineage: Eukaryota; Viridiplantae; Streptophyta; Magnoliopsida; Arecales; Arecaceae. The record is from RNAcentral.
UUGUAUAACUCUUGAAUUGCUAAACUAUAAUUGCUAUUUGCUAAAUAUUGAAUGGAAGAGAGCAGAAUUGCUAGAAGAGAGAAUAAAUAGGAGUAGAGAGAUUAGAGAGGGAGAGGAUUGGUUUAAUGAAUUGGUGUGGUGAGAAUGAAGGAGGAGGGUCCUUUUUAUAGAAACUCUAAAACUUUUAUUUUUUCAAAAUAUCCUUCAAUCUAGCCAUCUUUUGGCUAUUGGAGGGGUCA